RNAcentral lists this ribosomal RNA (467 nucleotides) under uncultured bacterium. RNAcentral describes it as "partial 16S ribosomal RNA". It matches the Rfam family "Bacterial small subunit ribosomal RNA", at positions 29 to 507 of the family's 1533-position model. The record is from RNAcentral.
ACGAACGCUGGCGGCGUGCUUAACACAUGCAAGUCGCACGGAAAGGCCCUGCUUUUGUGGGGUUCUCGAGUGGCGAACGGGUGAGUAACACGUGAGUAACCUGCCCUUGACUUUGGGAUAACUUCAGGAAACUGGGGCUAAUACCGGAUAGGAGCUCCUGCUGCAUGGUGGGGGUUGGAAAGUUUCGGCGGUUGGGGAUGGACUCGCGGCUUAUCAGCUUGUUGGUGGGGUAGUGGCUUACCAAGGCUUUGACGGGUAGCCGGCCUGAGAGGGUGACCGGCCACAUUGGGACUGAGAUACGGCCCAGACUCCUACGGGAGGCAGCAGUGGGGAAUAUUGCACAAUGGGCGGAAGCCUGAUGCAGCAACGCCGCGUGCGGGAUGACGGCCUUCGGGUUGUAAACCGCUUUCGCCUGUGACGAAGCGUGAGUGACGGUAAUGGGUAAAGAAGCACCGGCUAACUACGUG